GCGACGACGGGUAGCCGGCCUGAGAGGGCGACCGGCCACACUGGGACUGAGACACGGCCCAGACUCCUACGGGAGGCAGCAGUGGGGAAUAUUGCACAAUGGGCGAAAGCCUGAUGCAGCGACGCCGCGUGAGGGAUGACGGCCUUCGGGUUGUAAACCUCUUUCAGCAGGGAAGAAGCGAAAGUGACGGUACCUGCAGAAGAAGCGCCGGCUAACUACGUGCCAGCAGCCGCGGUAAUACGUAGGGCGCAAGCGUUGUCCGGAAUUAUUGGGCGUAAAGAGCUCGUAGGCGGCUUGUCACGUCGGAUGUGAAAGCCCGGGGCUUAACCCCGGGUCUGCAUUCGAUACGGGCUAGCUAGAGUGUGGUAGGGGAGAUCGGAAUUCCUGGUGUAGCGGUGAAAUGCGCAGAUAUCAGGAGGAACACCGGUGGCGAAGGCGGAUCUCUGGGCCAUUACUGACGCUGAGGAGCGAAAGCGUGGGGAGCGAACAGGAUUAGAUACCCUGGUAGUCCACGCCGUAAACGUUGGGAACUAGGUG
This 537-nucleotide ribosomal RNA is filed under the name Streptomyces sp. Its description in RNAcentral is "bacterial SSU rRNA". It matches the Rfam family "Bacterial small subunit ribosomal RNA", at positions 273 to 822 of the family's 1533-position model. The record is from RNAcentral. Lineage: Bacteria; Bacillati; Actinomycetota; Actinomycetes; Kitasatosporales; Streptomycetaceae.